This 67-nucleotide transfer RNA is filed under the name Syphrea sp. REN-2018. RNAcentral's name for it is "tRNA-Trp". The record is from RNAcentral. Lineage: Eukaryota; Metazoa; Arthropoda; Insecta; Coleoptera; Chrysomelidae.
AAGGAUUUAGGUUAAAAAAACCUUUAACCUUCAAAGUUAAGAAUGGGGGGGUAAUCCCUAAGCCUUA